CUGUGUGUCUUAUGAGUUUUGCUGAAGU
This 28-nucleotide non-coding RNA is filed under the name Mus musculus (house mouse). The record is from RNAcentral. Lineage: Eukaryota; Metazoa; Chordata; Mammalia; Rodentia; Muridae.